GGUUUAUGGACAGUCACUCCGUUCUCUGCUUUAUAAGGGCACCUGCCUCAAUCAGUGCACAGGAUGGACAGCACGCACUCUGUAAGAAAGCAGUAUUUCCCAGUUCAAUGCAUGUGUUAUUUACUGCACGCUGUCCAGCCCCAGCUCUGAAGCAGAAUUAUCCCUUAGGAGGUUUCCUGCAGAGCUCAUCACCAACACAUCUGAGUGCUUCACACCAUUAACUGUUUAGUUUUCCUCUCUGAGAUGCGUACARUUCCCACAGAGAGAAGGUGGUAAAACACAACAGCAAAAGCAAAAYGCCAUCUGUCUAUUAUGGAGUCUCCGAUUGGAAGUGCCAAGGAACUGAUUUUCCAGACAGCUU
RNAcentral lists this long non-coding RNA (361 nucleotides) under Apteryx owenii (little spotted kiwi). RNAcentral describes it as "lncRNA (ENSAOWG00000013573.1)". Lineage: Eukaryota; Metazoa; Chordata; Aves; Apterygiformes; Apterygidae. The record is from RNAcentral.